ACGAACGCUGGCGGCGUGCCUAAUACAUGCAAGUCGAACGGUCUUUCUAUGGAAGCUUGCUUCCACUGAGAAGAUAGUGGCGAACGGGUGAGUAACACGUGGGUAACCUGCCCAUAAGAGGGGGAUAACAUCCGGAAACGGGUGCUAAUACCGCAUAGUUUUCUUGAUCGCAUGAUUGAGAAAGGAAAGACGGCCUUUGUGCUGUCGCUUAUGGAUGGACCCGCGGCGUAUUAGUUAGUUGGUGAGGUAACGGCUCACCAAGACGAUGAUACGUAGCCGACCUGAGAGGGUGAUCGGCCACAUUGGGACUGAGACACGGCCCAAACUCCUACGGGAGGCAGCAGUAGGGAAUCUUCCGCAAUGGACGAAAGUCUGACGGAGCAACGCCGCGUGAGUGAAGAAAGGUUUUCGGAUCGUAAAACUCUGUUGUCAGAGAAGAACAAGUUGGAGAGUAACUGCUCCAGCCUUGACGGUAUCUGACCAGGGAGCCACGGCUAACUACGUGCCAGCAGCGGC
This 516-nucleotide ribosomal RNA is filed under the name uncultured bacterium. RNAcentral's name for it is "bacterial SSU rRNA". It matches the Rfam family "Bacterial small subunit ribosomal RNA", at positions 29 to 518 of the family's 1533-position model. The record is from RNAcentral.